GACGAACGCUGGCGGCGUGCUUAACACAUGCAAGUCGUACGGUAAGGCCCUUUCGGGGGUACACGCGUGGCGAACGGGUGAGUAACACGUGCGUAACUAGCCCACAACUUUGGGAUAACGCUAGGAAACUGGUGCUAAUACUGGAUAUGUGCUCCUGCUGCAUGCUGGGGGUUGGAUAGCUCCGGGGGGUGUGGAUGGACUCGCUGCCUAUCAGCUUGUUGGUGGGGUAGUGGGCUACCAAGGCGGCGACGGGUAGCCGGCCUGCGGGGGGGAACGGCCAACUUGGGACUGAGGGAAGGCCCCAACUCCGAAGGGGAGCCACAGGGGGGAAAUUUGCACGAAGGGCGCAAGCCUGGUGCAGCAAACCCUCGUGGGGGAAGACGGGCUUCGGGUUGGAAAACGGUUUUAGCAGGGACGAAACUGUUUGUGACGGUACCUGCAGAAGAAGCACCGGCUAACUACGUG
This 465-nucleotide ribosomal RNA is filed under the name uncultured bacterium. Its description in RNAcentral is "partial 16S ribosomal RNA". It matches the Rfam family "Bacterial small subunit ribosomal RNA", at positions 28 to 507 of the family's 1533-position model. The record is from RNAcentral.